Molecule: ribosomal RNA, 2139 nt
Filed under: marine metagenome
Description: bacterial LSU rRNA
Rfam family: Bacterial large subunit ribosomal RNA
Source: RNAcentral
CCUUGCUGUUGAUAUCGAGCUGAACCAGGUACUUUGAGACUGAAUACAUAGGUUUCAAAGAGCAAACCCGGGGAACUGAAACAUCUAAGUACCCGGAGGAAAGGACAUCAAUUGAUACUCCCCUAGUAGCGGCGAGCGAACGGGGACCAGCCGAGCCUUGAGCGUGACUAGAAUGUGCUGGAAAGCACAGCCAUAGCGGGUGACAGCCCCGUAUAGGAAGCGUGAUGGGACGUAUUAAGUAGGGCGGGACACGUGAAAUCCUGUCUGAAGAUCGGAGGACCACCUUCGAAGGCUAAGUACUCCUUACUGACCGAUAGUGAACCAGUACCGUGAGGGAAAGGUGAAAAGCACCCCGACGAGGGGAGUGAAACAGUACCUGAAACCGAACGCCUACAAUCAGUCGGAGCCCCCUUGCGGGGUGACGGCGUACCUUUUGUAUAAUGGGUCAUCGACUUGGUCUAUCUAGCAAGCUUAAGCCGUUAGGUGUAGGCGCAGCGAAAGCGAGUCUGAAUAGGGCGCAUGAGUUAGAUGGAUCAGACCCGAAACCGAGUGAUCUAGGCAUGGCCAGGUUGAAGGUUGGGUAACACCAACUGGAGGACCGAACCCACAUCCGUUGAAAAGGAUCGGGAUGAGCUGUGCCUAGGGGUGAAAGGCCAAUCAAACUCGGAGAUAGCUGGUUCUCUGCGAAAUCUAUUUAGGUAGAGCGUCAUCCGAAUACCCCCGGGGGUAGAGCACUGGAUGGGUAAUGGGGCCCCACAGGCUUACUGAUCCUAACCAAACUCCGAAUACCGGGGAGUACUAGAUGGCAGACACACAGCGGAUGCUAACGUCCGUUGUGGAGAGGGAAACAACCCUGACCUACAGCUAAGGCCCCCAAUUCAUGGCUAAGUGGGAAAGCAGGUGGGACGACCAAAACAACCAGGAGGUUGGCUUAGAAGCAGCCAUCCUUUAAAGAUAGCGUAACAGCUCACUGGUCUAAAUAAGUUGUCCUGCGGCGAAGAUGUAACGGGGCUCAAGCCAUGAGCCGAAGCUUAGGAUGCACAUAGUGCAUGGUAGCAGAGCGUAGUGUGACAUUAGACUUCGUCUUAUUCUGGUUUUUUGUAUUGCCGCAUUGGUUCCGUGAGUGUUCGCACUCAAGUAGCCGGAGGCGGUAGUGCACAAAAGAAGUCAGAAUAGACAAAGUCUAUUCUGUGAAGCCGGGCUGUAAGGCAUCCGGUGGAGAGAUCACUAGUGAGAAUGAUGACAUGAGUAGCGACAAAGAGUGUGAGAGACACUCUCGCCGAAAGUCCAAGGGUUCCUGCUUAAAGCUAAUCUGAGCAGGGUAAGCCGGCCCCUAAGUCGAGGCAGAAAUGCGUAGACGAUGGGAACUAGGUUAAUAUUCCUAGGCCAGGAGGAUGUGACGGAUCAUGAAGGUUGUUCACCCUUAUUGGAUUGGGUGGGCCGCUAAUUGGUUCCUGGAAAUAGCCCUCCAUUAGACCGUACCCUAAACCGACACAGGUGGACUGGUAGAGCAUACCAAGGCGCUUGAGAGAACUAUGUUGAAGGAACUCGGCAAAAUACCUCCGUAAGUUCGCGAGAAGGAGGCCCGGUUCCUAGGCAACUAGGGGCUGGGGGCACAAACCAGGGGGUGGCGACUGUUUAUUAAAAACACAGGGCUCUGCGAAGUCGCAAGACGACGUAUAGGGUCUGACGCCUGCCCGGUGCCGGAAGGUUAAAAGGAGGGGUGAGAGCUCCGAAUUGAAGCCCCGGUAAACGGCGGCCGUAACUAUAACGGUCCUAAGGUAGCGAAAUUCCUUGUCGGGUAAGUUCCGACCUGCACGAAUGGCGUAACGACUUCCCCGCUGUCUCCAACAUCGACUCAGCGAAAUUGAAUUGCCUGUCAAGAUGCAGGCUUCCCGCGGUUAGACGGAAAGACCCCGUGCACCUUUACUACAGCUUCGCACUGGCAUCAGGAUUGUGAUGUGCAGGAUAGGUGGUAGGCUUUGAAGCGGUGACGCCAGUCAUCGUGGAGCCUCCCUUGAGAUACCACCCUUCGCACUCUUGAUGUCUAACCGCGGUCCGUUAUCCGGAUCCGGGACCCUGCGUGGUGGGUAGUUUGACUGGGGCGGUCGCCUCCUAAAGAGUAACGGAGGCGCGCGA